AUGUACAGCCGGACGCGCCCGGGGUUUCUACAAGAAACAGCCAACGAACGGCAAAAAAAAAAAAAAGCCUUCUCCGGGGAAAAGGGGGGGCCGUGGGGGGGCGGGCGUGGUCGCCAGUGGGGUGUCAUGGCCGCCGGGGUCAUCAUUGGGGUGUCAUGGCCGCCAGGGUGUCAUGGCUGCCAUUGAGGUGUCAUGGCUGCCGUGGUCAUCGCUGUGGUGUCAUGGCCGCCGAGGUGUCAUGGCUGCCGUUGAGGUAUCAUGGCUGCCGGGGUGUCAUGGCCGCUGUGGAGGUGUCAUGGCUGCCUUGGUGGUGUCAUGGCCGCCGGGGUCAUUGCUGUGGUGUCAUGGCCGCCGAGGUGUCAUGGCUGCCGUCGAGGUAUCAUGGCUGCCAUCGAGGUGUCAUGGCCGCCAGGGUGUCAUGGCUGCCAUCGGGGUGUCAUGGCCGCCAUCGAGGUGUCAUGGCUGCCGUCAGGGUGUCAUGGCCACCAGGGUGUCAUGGCUGCUGGGGUGGUGUCAUGGCUGCUGGGGGCAUUGUUGUGGUGUCAUGGUCGCCGUUGAGGUGUCAUGGCUGCCGGGGGCAUCGUUGUGGUGUCAUGGCUGCCAGGGGGUCAUGGCCGCCAUCGAGGUGUCAUGGCUGCCAUUGAGGUGUCAUGGCCGCCUUGGUGGUGUCAGCGCUGCCUUUGGGGUCGUCACGGUGAGCACCACGAUGACGUCACACCAACCACGAUGACCUCAAGCCAACCUUGUUGACCUCUCACCAACCACGGUGAUGACCACGGUGACCACCACGAUGACCUCACACCAACCACGAUGACCCAACACCAAUUAGGAUGACCUCUUGCCAACCAUGGUGAUGACCAUGGUGAUGACCACGAUGACCUCACACCAACCAUGAUGACCUCUUGCCAACCGCGUUGACUUCUCACCAACAUCGUUGACCUCUUGCCAACCAUGGUGAUGACCAUGGUGAUCACCACGAUGACCUCUUGCCAACCACGAUGACCCAACACCAACGAUGAUGACCCCAUGCCAACCAUGGUGAUGACCAUGAUGACCCAACACCAACCACGAUGACCUCUUGCCAACCACAAUGGUCCAACGCCAACCACGUUGACUUCUUGCCAACCACAUUGACGACCUCUUGCCAACCGCGUUGACUUCUCACCAACAUCGUUGACCUCUUGCCAACCAUGGUGAUGACCAUGGUGAUCACCAUGACGACCUCUUGCCAACCACGAUGACCCAACGCCAACCACGUUGACUUCUUGCCAACCCUGUUGACCUCUUGCCAACCACACUGAUGACCUCUUGCCAACUACGUUGACUUCAUGCCAACCAUGGUGACCCAACGCCAACCAUGUUGAUGACCUCUUGCCAACCAAGAUGACCUCUUGCCUCUUGCCAACCACGUUGACUUCUCACCAACAUCGUUGACCUCUAUGCCAACCACGGUGAUGACCAUGACGACCUCUUGCCAACCAAGAUGACCCAACACCAACCACGAUGACCUCUUGCCAACUGCGUUGACCUCUUGCCAACCAUGGUGAUGACCUCUUGCCAACCACGCUGACUUCUCACCAACAUCGUUGACCUCUUCCAGCCAUGGUGAUGACCACAGCGAUCAUCACGAUGACCUCACACCAACAACGAUGACCCAACGCCAACCACGAUGACUUCUCACCAACAUCGUUGACCUCUUGCCAACCACGGUGAUGACCACAAUGACCUCUUGCCAACCACGAUGACCCAACACCAACCACGAUGACCUCUUGCCAACCACGAUGACCCAACACCAACCACGAUGACCUCUUGCCAACCAUGGUGAUGACCAUGGUGAUGACCACGACGACCUCUUGCCAACCACGUUGACCUCUUGCCAAAGACAUUGAUGACCUCUUGCCAACGAUGAUGACCCAACGCCAACCACGAUGACCUCUUUCCAACCACGUUGACUUCUCCCCAACACCGCUGCCUCCUCGCCCACCAGAAGGCCCACCAGAAGGCCCACCAGAAGGCCCACCACCAGGCCCACCACCAGGCCCACCAGAAAGCCCACCACCAGGCCCACCAGAAGGCCCACCACCGGGCCCACCAGAAGGCCCACCACCAGGCCCACCAGAAGGCCCACCAGAAGGCCCACCAGAAGGCCCACCACCAGGCCCACCAGAAGGCCCACCA
This 2178-nucleotide long non-coding RNA is filed under the name Anas zonorhyncha (Eastern spot-billed duck). RNAcentral's name for it is "lncRNA (ENSAZOG00000013863.1)". The record is from RNAcentral. Lineage: Eukaryota; Metazoa; Chordata; Aves; Anseriformes; Anatidae.